RNAcentral lists this non-coding RNA (30 nucleotides) under Homo sapiens (human). Lineage: Eukaryota; Metazoa; Chordata; Mammalia; Primates; Hominidae. The record is from RNAcentral.
GAGGACCAGAAAGGCUAAAUUGAUCUAACU